ACGGAAGGCAGCAGUGAGGAAUAUUGGUCAAUGGGCGGGAGCCUGAACCAGCCAAGUAGCGUGGAGGAUGACGGCCCUACGGGUUGUAAACUCCUUUUGCCGGGGGAUAAAAAACGGGACGUGUCCCGUCUUGCAGGUACCCGCGCGAAUAAGGACCGGCUAAUUCCGUGCCAGCAGCCGCGGUAAUACGGAAGAUCCGAGCGUUAUCCGGAUUUAUUGGGUUUAAAGGGAGCGUAGGCGGGCCUUUAAGUCAGUGGUCAAAGCGUGUGGCUCAACCAUACCACGCCGUUGAUACUGGAGGCCUUGAGUGCACAUAAGGAUGGUGGAAUUCAUGGUGUAGCGGUGAAAUGCUUAGAUAUCAUGAAGAACUCCGAUUGCGAAGGCAGCUGUCCGGGGUGUAACUGACGCUAAUGCUCGAAAGUGCGGGUAUCAAACAGGAUUAGAUACCCUGGUA
This 454-nucleotide ribosomal RNA is filed under the name uncultured Prevotellaceae bacterium. Its description in RNAcentral is "partial 16S ribosomal RNA". It matches the Rfam family "Bacterial small subunit ribosomal RNA", at positions 341 to 792 of the family's 1533-position model. Lineage: Bacteria; Pseudomonadati; Bacteroidota; Bacteroidia; Bacteroidales; Prevotellaceae. The record is from RNAcentral.